GUGAGUCAUCGAAUCUUUGAACGCACAUUGCGCCCGCCAGUAUUCUGGCGGGCAUGCCUGUUCGAGCGUCAUUUCAACCAUCAAGCCCCCGGCUUGUGUUGGGGACCUGCGGCUGCCGCAGGCCCUGAAAACCAGUGGCGGGCUCGCUGUCACCCCGAGCGUAGUAGUUACAUCUCGCUCUGGGCGUGCUGCGGGUUCCGGCCGUUAAACGCCUUAUUUACCCAAGGUUGACCUCGGAUCAGGUAGGAAGACCCGCUGAACUUAAGCAUAUCAAUAAGCGGAGGA
This 285-nucleotide unclassified non-coding RNA is filed under the name Chaetomium sp. RNAcentral's name for it is "partial contains 5.8S ribosomal RNA, internal transcribed spacer 2, and large subunit ribosomal RNA". The stretch from base 1 to 71 matches the Rfam family "5.8S ribosomal RNA", at positions 84 to 154 of the family's 154-position model. The record is from RNAcentral. Lineage: Eukaryota; Fungi; Ascomycota; Sordariomycetes; Sordariales; Chaetomiaceae.